UACGGAGGGGGCUAGCGUUGUUCGGAAUUACUGGGCGUAAAGCGCGCGUAGGCGGACCUGCAAGUCGGGGGUGAAAGCCCGAGGCUCAACCUCGGAACUGCCUUCGAUACUGCGGGUCUCGAGUCCGGGAGAGGUGAGUGGAAUUCCUAGUGUAGAGGUGAAAUGCGUAGAUAUCAGGAGGAACACCUGUGGUGUAGACAGCUUACUGGACCACUUCUGACGCUGAGACACGAAAGCGUGGGUAGCAAACAGG
Molecule: ribosomal RNA, 253 nt
Filed under: uncultured bacterium
Lineage: Bacteria
Description: partial 16S ribosomal RNA
Rfam family: Bacterial small subunit ribosomal RNA
Source: RNAcentral